Long non-coding RNA from Haliotis rubra (blacklip abalone), 706 nucleotides. RefSeq lists it as uncharacterized. The transcript has 5 exons. Lineage: Eukaryota; Metazoa; Mollusca; Gastropoda; Lepetellida; Haliotidae. The record is from RefSeq and is a predicted model, not a curated record.
CUGUUGAUAUGCUUCGGAUGUUUAUUAAUAAUAGUUGAGCAGUAUUCAUCAACAGAUCGAAACAUGUCGUCGCUGUUUUCCAUAUGCUUCAUUAUUUUCACAAGUUUCACCAAAAACGGUGUCUGUGGUGAACAUCAUGGAAGUGGCCCUCUCUGCUGGAGCCACCGUUUGUGAUGGAGAGUCCUCUCAGUCUCCGUACGAGGACCCAAGUACGAAGGGAUGUUGGUCGACAUCCUCGACGAGCUGGCGCGUCGUCUCAACUUCACUUACAACAUACACGAGGUCUACGACGGCAGAGUUUGGCUACGAGGUGGAGCCAGGAAAAUGGGACGGGCUUGUUUCGGAAGACUGAUCAAUAACCAAUCAGACCUUGCCUUGUCGCAUUUGACUAUCAACUCCAGAAAACGAGCAAAGGUCGUGAAGUUCACGCACCAGCCGUUCAUGUUAGCUGGUCUUCGCAUCCUGUACCGGCCACCCGACCGUUAUCAAUCAGGAACCUUGGUACAUCCUGCUUACUCCAUUCACUGGGGACUGUGGGUCGUGAUAUUUGUCAUGUGGCUUGUGAUUGGCUGUUUUAUCAUCGCGCCAUUGUCAAAUUUAGCCCGUUUGAAGAUAACUCCAGUACAACGAGUCAGUGAUGUUGACUGUAACGGGUGUUAUUAUUGGGAAGCUGUUGUACACUGUGUGUUUGUAUUCUCGUCCAGCG